UGAAGCUUUUGACAAGGGACAAGAUAUCCACAUGCAAGCUGCUCCGUCUCAGGCCGAGUUACUCUUCAAAAAUUUUCAGGUUAUCAAGGAGAAUUUGAAAUCUAGAACCAAGGAGACCAUCUUGGAGAAAUAUGGAAAUGCAGCAGCAGAAGAGACGCUUCCUAGGGAACUUCUUCUAGGACAGAGUGAGAGAGUGAUUGAGUAUGACCGAGCCGGUCGUGUCAUCAAAGGCCAGGAGACCUCUCUUCCAAAGAGCAAAUACGAAG
This 266-nucleotide unclassified non-coding RNA is filed under the name Hevea brasiliensis (rubber tree). Lineage: Eukaryota; Viridiplantae; Streptophyta; Magnoliopsida; Malpighiales; Euphorbiaceae. The record is from RNAcentral.